AGCUGGCUGGGCGGUUAGGAGGGCCCGGGGCCGAGACGAUGGCUGACCACAACCCUGACAGCGACUCCACGCCGCGCACGCUGCUGCGACGCGUGCUGGAUACAGCGGACCCGCGCACCCCGCGGCGACCCCGGAGUGCUCGGGCUGGAGCCCGGAGAGCCCUGCUUGAAACGGCUUCCCCCAGGAAGUUGAGUGGCCAAACAAGGACGAUAGCCAGAGGGCGUUCCCAUGGAGCCAGGUCUGUUGGCAGAUCGGCCCAUAUUCAGGCCAGUGGGCACUUGGAGGAACAGACACCUCGGACGCUGCUGAAGAACAUCCUACUAACUGCCCCAGAAUCUUCCAUCCUGAUGCCUGAGUCGGUAGUGAAGCCAGUGCCAGCACCGCAGGCGGUCCAACCCUCCAGACAAGAGAGCAGUUGCGGCAGCCUGGAGCUGCAACUUCCUGAGCUCGAGCCCCCCACAACCCUGGCUCCAGAUCCCUCAACCUGACCUUUGCCACACCUCUUCAGCCACAGUCAGUGCAGAGGCCUGGCUUGGCCCGCAGACCUCCAGCCCGCCGAGCUGUAGACGUGGGUGCCUUUUUGCGGGAUCUGCGAGAUACUUCCCUGGCUCCUCCAAACAUUGUGUUGGAGGACACCCAGCCGUUCUCUCAGCCCAUGGUUGGCUCCCCCAACGUGUAUCACUCCCUGCCCUGCACGCCUCACACUGGGGCUGAAGACGCUGAGCAGGCUGCCGGUCGCAAGACACAGAGCAGUGGGCCUGGGCUGCAGAAGAAUAGUGAGUGUGUGGCACUGGUGGCCUGGAGCCAAAUUUAGCUUGGGUGAGAGUUGACAAUGGUAGUUUUCCUUCCUCAAGCCCCUCUGUGCCCCUAGAGCACCCUGGCUGUGGCUGCCUCCUUCAUCCAAGAGCAGAGUCCAUGUUGGGCCAGGAGACUUCAGAUCCAUGUCCUGGUGCUGCCUCUGGCUUUGUCUUUCCUCAGUGGGCAGGACUGGGUCUGCUGGUCCAUCUUUACCCUUCUCUGAGCUAUGCAGCCUUGGCCUGCUGCGUCUCCGGCCUGUAUUCUCUCCCCUUCACUCAGGCCCUGGGAAACCAGCCCAGUUUCUGGCAGGAGAGGCAGAGGAGGUCAAUGCCUUUGCUCUGGGCUUCCUGAGCACCAGCAGUGGUGUCUCUGGAGAAGAUGAAGUAGAGCCCUUACACGAUGGAGUUGAAGAGGCAGAGAAAAAGAUGGAAGAAGAAGGUGUGAGUGUGAGUGAAAUGGAGGCAACAGGAGCACAAGGACCCAGCAGGGUAGAAGAGGCUGAGGGACACACAGAGGUGACAGAAGCAGAGGGAUCCCAGGGGACUGCUGAGGCUGACGGGCCAGGAGCAUCUUCAGGGGAUGAGGAUGCCUCUGGCAGGGCAGCAAGUCCAGAGUCGGCCUCCAGCACCCCUGAGUCUCUCCAGGCCAGGCGACAUCAUCAGUUUCUUGAGCCAGCCCCAGCGCCUGGUGCUGCAGUCUUAUCUUCAGAGCCUGCAGAGCCUCUGUUGGUCAGGCAUCCCCCUAGGCCCCGGACCACCGGCCCCAGGCCCCGGCAAGAUCCCCACAAGGCUGGACUGAGCCACUAUGUGAAACUCUUUAGCUUCUAUGCCAAGAUGCCCAUGGAGAGGAAGGCUCUUGAGAUGGUGGAGAAGUGCAUCUUUGUGAUGAUCUGGAGGUAUUUGCUGCUCAUGCUGGCCGCAAGACUGUGAAGCCAGAGGACCUGGAGCUGCUGAUGCGGCGGCAGGGCCUGGUCACUGACCAAGUCUCACUGCACGUGCUAGUGGAGCGGCACCUGCCCCUGGAGUACCGGCAGCUGCUCAUCCCCUGUGCAUACAGUGGCAACUCUGUCUUCCCUGCCCAGUAGUGGCCAGGCUUCAACACUUUCCCUGUCCCCACCUGGGGACUCUUGCCCCCACAUAUUUCUCCAGGUCUCCUCCCCACCCCCCCAGCAUCAAUAAAGUGUCAUAAACAG
RNAcentral lists this long non-coding RNA (1990 nucleotides) under Homo sapiens (human). RNAcentral's name for it is "non-protein coding lnc-CENPT-1:13". The record is from RNAcentral. Lineage: Eukaryota; Metazoa; Chordata; Mammalia; Primates; Hominidae.